Camelus dromedarius (Arabian camel) is the source of this 1273-nucleotide long non-coding RNA. RefSeq lists it as uncharacterized. The record is from RefSeq and is a predicted model, not a curated record. Lineage: Eukaryota; Metazoa; Chordata; Mammalia; Artiodactyla; Camelidae. The transcript has 3 exons.
AGAACGUGAAACAUUGACACGUAGUGUUGAAAGUUAAGGCCUUGGAAGGAUUUACCUGACAAAGACUUGAUAAACCGUACUGACAGAUCUCCCAAAGUCACAGAUUGAAAAAGCUGUCAUUGAGACCCUACUAUGUGCUGCCCAUUGGGGAUUCCAUAGCAAACAAAACAGACAACUUCCUACCCUCAAAUGAAGAUAGUUGCCUAAACCUGUUCUCCAGAAGGCCAUCAACUCCAUUAAACUCCCGACUUGGAAACCACAGCAUGUGUCUGAGGACCAGGCAAGAGGCCGGUGAUGCUGGGUGGCUGUGAGUGAGGGGGAGAGUGGGACGUGAUAAGGGUGGAAAGCUAGACCAGAGGCAGAGCGCCAUGAUAAACUCAGGAUUUUAUUCUAAGUGGAGCGGAAAACUGUGAGGGGCAGCAGAGGUCGUCAUCAGUAAGAGUGUGGGCUUUAGAGCCGUCCAGUCUCAGUUCAAAUCCCAGCCCUCCCAGGAACUGACUGUGACCUUGAGCAAGAAACUUGGCAACUGUUUGCGUGUCUGUAAAAUACAGAUAAUAGGACCUGUCUCAUUGGCUUGUCCUGAAGAUCGAAUGAGUCAAUUUUAUAAAAGUACGUUAAGACAGCACUUCCACGUAAGUGAUCGCUAAAGAAGAGUUUGUUAAAAGUGUUUUGCUUUCAUCACUAUCUGUUGUACAGGUUUGGAGGCUGUCCCAGAAGCCUGCAGAGGGAGGGUGGCAACCCGGACUGUGGUGGUGGCAUCGAGCUGGAAAUAAGUGGACGGGUAAAGCUAACGACAGCGAACGUUUACAGAGCACAUGCCACGCGCUGGGCACUACUCUGAGCUCUUCACGUGCGGUUGUCUCUUACUACCUCACAGCCGUCUACGAGCCACGUACGAUUGUCAUUCUCACUUUGCAGAUGAGGAGACUGAGCCCGAAGCUUGCGCAAGAUCAUACAGUUAACAGAAGAGCCAAAAGGUCAAAGUCAGGCAGUCUGAAUCAGCACUCUGUAGCGGUCACCUCUCUCUCUCAGCUAGUGACAGAUGACAGUGGGACAUCACGGACUCAGAGCAUACGAAACCGUAACUAGGCUUUGGUGCGCGCUAUGCUGUCACUUUCAGCCUCUUGGUAGUGUGAGCGCCGCGGGGGCCGCAGUGGCACAGAGCCUACAAAAUAUCUCCAACCUUCUGAAACAUUUAUUUUGCCAAGUGAAGUCUGCUCAUUAAAAUUAUUACCAAAACCAUGAGAUAUGCAACUUUUUAAAAAGAGGAUUC